CGCAAAAUCUGUCUGAGACAGAGCAGUAACUCCGGACAAAAAUCACAAACUUAAAACUCGACCGGUAACUGGCGCUCGUCAGCUCCAAACGAAUCUCGCGCACGAGCUCCGAAAUGGACUCAAAUUGAUGAAAUUCUAGCAGCAAAAUGAGGCUUAAGAAUUGAAAUUAUUUUCCAACAGCAAUUUCAGAGACAAAAGUUUUC
Molecule: long non-coding RNA, 203 nt
Filed under: Nicotiana benthamiana
Lineage: Eukaryota; Viridiplantae; Streptophyta; Magnoliopsida; Solanales; Solanaceae
Description: long non-coding RNA (NBEN_LNC024117)
Source: RNAcentral